GAACGCACCUUGCGCUCCUUGGUAUUCCGAGGAGCAUGCCUGUUUGAGUGUCGUGAAAUUAUCAACCUUCUAGCUUUUAUUAGCUAGUUAGGCUUGGAUUUUGGAGGUUGCUGGUUUCCUAGAAAUCAGCUCUUCUUAAAUUUAUUAGCAAAGUCUUUGCUGACCAUCAUUGGUAUGAUAAUUAUCUAUAUCAUUGAGAAUCAGCUUUCCAUCUUGGAAGGGUUUUGCUUCUAAUGGUCUAUACAGACAACUUGACAAUUUGACCUCAAAUCAGGUAGGACUACCCGCUGAACUUA
This 296-nucleotide unclassified non-coding RNA is filed under the name uncultured Entoloma. RNAcentral describes it as "sequence contains 5.8S rRNA gene". The stretch from base 1 to 53 matches the Rfam family "5.8S ribosomal RNA", at positions 102 to 154 of the family's 154-position model. Lineage: Eukaryota; Fungi; Basidiomycota; Agaricomycetes; Agaricales; Entolomataceae. The record is from RNAcentral.